This 301-nucleotide ribosomal RNA is filed under the name uncultured bacterium. RNAcentral's name for it is "partial 16S ribosomal RNA". It matches the Rfam family "Bacterial small subunit ribosomal RNA", at positions 509 to 807 of the family's 1533-position model. The record is from RNAcentral.
CAGCCGCCACGGUAAUACGUAGGGUGCGAGCGUUGUCCGGAAUUACUGGGCGUAAAGAGCUCGUAGGCGGUUUGUCGCGUCGUCUGUGAAAUUCUGCAGCUUAACUGUAGGCGUGCAGGCGAUACGGGCAGACUUGAGUACUACAGGGGAGACUGGAAUUCCUGGUGUAGCGGUGAAAUGCGCAGAUAUCAGGAGGAACACCGGUGGCGAAGGCGGGUCUCUGGGUAGUAACUGACGCUGAGGAGCGAAAGCGUGGGUAGCGAACAGGAUUAGAUACCCCUGUAGUCCCUGUCUCUUAUAC